CGCGUCUCAUAGAUCUCUUCUCU
RNAcentral lists this non-coding RNA (23 nucleotides) under Rattus norvegicus (Norway rat). The record is from RNAcentral. Lineage: Eukaryota; Metazoa; Chordata; Mammalia; Rodentia; Muridae.